ACACGUAGGAGGCAAGCGUUAUUCGGAUUUACUGGGCGUAAAGCGCGUGCAGGCGGUUUGGUAAGUUGGAUGUGAAAGCUCCCGGCCUAACUGGGAGAGGGCGUUCAAUACUACCAGAAUAGAGGAUGGGAGAGGGAGGGGGGAUUCCGGGUGUAGGGGUGAAAUGCGUAGAUAUCCGGAGGAACACCAGUGGCGAAAGCGGCCUCCUGGCCCAUUUCUGACGCUCAGACGCGGAAGCUAGGGUAGCAAACGGGAUUAGAGACCCCGGUAGUCCUAGCUGUAAACGAUGUGAACUUGGCGUCGGCGGGUUUAAAUCCGUCGGUGCCGAAGCUAACGCGAUAAGUUCACCGCCUGGGGACUACGGCCGCAAGGUUAAAACUCAAAUGAAUUGACGGGG
RNAcentral lists this ribosomal RNA (397 nucleotides) under uncultured bacterium. Its description in RNAcentral is "partial 16S ribosomal RNA". It matches the Rfam family "Bacterial small subunit ribosomal RNA", at positions 523 to 918 of the family's 1533-position model. The record is from RNAcentral.